UAGGGAAUCUUCCGCAAUGGGCGAAAGCCUGACGGAGCAACGCCGCGUGAGUGAUGAAGGUCUUCGGAUCGUAAAACUCUGUUAUUAGGGAAGAACAAAUGUGUAAGUAACUAUGCACGUCUUGACGGUACCUAAUCAGAAAGCCACGGCUAACUACGUGCCAGCAGCCGCGGUAAUACGUAGGUGGCAAGCGUUAUCCGGAAUUAUUGGGCGUAAAGCGCGCGUAGGCGGUUUUUUAAGUCUGAUGUGAAAGCCCACGGCUCAACCGUGGAGGGUCAUUGGAAACUGGAAAACUUGAGUGCAGAAGAGGAAAGUGGAAUUCCAUGUGUAGCGGUGAAAUGCGCAGAGAUAUGGAGGAACACCAGUGGUGAAGGCGACUUUCUGGUCUGUAACUGACGCUGAUGUGCGAAAGCGUGGGGAACAAACAGG
This 429-nucleotide ribosomal RNA is filed under the name Actinomycetes bacterium. Its description in RNAcentral is "Actinobacteria bacterium partial 16S ribosomal RNA". It matches the Rfam family "Bacterial small subunit ribosomal RNA", at positions 355 to 776 of the family's 1533-position model. The record is from RNAcentral. Lineage: Bacteria; Bacillati; Actinomycetota; Actinomycetes.